Molecule: transfer RNA, 65 nt
Filed under: Eurydema oleracea
Lineage: Eukaryota; Metazoa; Arthropoda; Insecta; Hemiptera; Pentatomidae
Description: tRNA-Glu
Rfam family: tRNA
About the family: Transfer RNA (tRNA) molecules are approximately 80 nucleotides in length. Their secondary structure includes four short double-helical elements and three loops (D, anti-codon, and T loops). Further hydrogen bonds mediate the characteristic L-shaped molecular structure. tRNAs have two regions of fundamental functional importance: the anti-codon, which is responsible for specific mRNA codon recognition, and the 3' end, to which the tRNAs corresponding amino acid is attached (by aminoacyl-tRNA synthetases). tRNAs cope with the degeneracy of the genetic code in two manners: having more than one tRNA (with a specific anti-codon) for a particular amino acid; and 'wobble' base-pairing, i.e. permitting non-standard base-pairing at the 3rd anti-codon position.
Source: RNAcentral
AUUUAUGUAGUUUAAUAAAAACCCCUCAUUUUCAAUGAGAAAAUAAGAUUUAAUCUUUAUAAAUA